GUGCCAGCAGCCGCGGUAAUACGUAGGGUCCAAGCGUUAAUCGGAAUUACUGGGCGUAAAGCGUGCGCAGGCGGUUGUGCAAGACCGAUGUGAAAUCCCCGGGCUUAACCUGGGAAUUGCAUUGGUGACUGCACGGCUAGAGUGUGUCAGAGGGGGGUAGAAUUCCACGUGUAGCAGUGAAAUGCGUAGAGAUGUGGAGGAAUACCGAUGGCGAAGGCAGCCCCCUGGGAUAACACUGACGCUCAUGCACGAAAGCGUGGGGAGCAAACAGGAUUAGAAACCCGCGUAGUCC
Molecule: ribosomal RNA, 292 nt
Filed under: Pseudomonas aeruginosa
Lineage: Bacteria; Pseudomonadati; Pseudomonadota; Gammaproteobacteria; Pseudomonadales; Pseudomonadaceae
Also listed under: 1 other name
Description: partial 16S ribosomal RNA
Rfam family: Bacterial small subunit ribosomal RNA
Source: RNAcentral